UUCCGGUUGAUCCUGCCGGACCUGACUGCUAUCGGAUUGAUACUAAGCCAUGCGAGUCAUUGUAGCAAUACAAGGCAGACGGCUCAGUAACGCGUAGUCAACCUACCCUAUGGACGGGAAUAACCUCGGGAAACUGAGUAUAAUGCCCGAUAGAACACUAUACCUGGAAUGGUUUGUGUUUCAAAUGAUUUAUUGCCAUAGGAUGGGACUGCGGCCUAUCAGUUUGUUGGUGAGGUAAUGGCCCACCAAGACUAUUACAGGUACGGGCUCUGAGAGGAGUGGCCCGGAGAUGGGUACUGAGACACGGACCCAGGUCCUAUGGGGCGCAGCAGGCGAGAAAACUUUGCAAUGUGCGAAAGCACGACAAGGUUAAUCCGAGUGGUUUCUGCUAAAGGAACCUUUUGUUAGUCCUAGAAACACUAACGAAUAAGGGGUGGGCCAAGUUCUGGUGUCAGCCGCCGCGGUAAAACCAGCACCUCAAGUGGUCAGGAUGAUUAUUGGGCCUAAAGCAUCCGUAGCCGGCUCAGUAAGUUUUCGGUUAAAUCUGUACGCUUAACGUACAGGCUGCCGGGAAUACUGCAGAGCUAGGGAGUGGGAGAGGUAGACGGUACUCGGGAGGAAGUGGUAAAAUGCUUUGAUCUUUCGAUGACCACCUGUGGCGAGAGGCGGUCUACCAGAACACGUCCGACGGUGAGGGAUGAAAGCUGGGGGAGCAAACCGGAUUAGAUACCCGGGUAGUCCCAGCUGUAAACUAUGCAAACUCAGUGAUGCAUUGGCUUGUGGCCAGUGCAGUGCCGCAGGGAAGCCGUUAAGUUUGCCUGCCUGGGAAGUACGUACGCAAGUAUGAAACUUAAAGGAAUUGGCGGGGGAGCACCACAAGGGGUGAAGCCUGCGGUUCAAUUGGAUUCAACGCCGGG
RNAcentral lists this ribosomal RNA (917 nucleotides) under uncultured archaeon. RNAcentral describes it as "bacterial SSU rRNA". It matches the Rfam family "Archaeal small subunit ribosomal RNA", at positions 1 to 922 of the family's 1478-position model. The record is from RNAcentral.